CUCUCCUCCGAGGCACAGAGGGUUCCGAGGCGGCGCCUCUCGGUAGGGCUCGGUUCUCCCUCAGUACUCGGUCCCAAACUGAGGUUUUACCUUGAGAUGAACCAGAGGCAAGUGGCAGUUUCAGCAGCUUGAAGAGAGGCUGGGUCCUCAGCAGCCAGGGCACAUUCCUAUGGCAUCUGAACAGGGCAAGUCUGGUAACACCAAGAGAUACCAUCAGAAAGCAUAGACAAGGGACUAAGCAUCUGAGAUUGUCAAAUCACUGAAAAACAAAUUACUUUCAGGGCAAUUGUUUUUAAGCUGAACUUUAAAAAGGAAUGGAAUCCAGGAAAAAAAAAAUUACUAAAAGUCAUGCAGUUAAAAGGCAGAAAUAAGCUCCAAAAGUAACAUGUACAAAGGUAAUAUGCUUCAAGAUUAAUAGCUGCAAUCCAGUGCAAUUCAUCCUGCUGCACAAAGGACAGGCGCACAGGCAUUCCCUGCCUGCCACGUAUACAGGGAGCAGCCUGCAGAAGGAACACUCUGACACACAGAGGUGAAACCUGCAAACGCUUUAUUUAAAGAGUGCAAAGACCUAUGGAGUGAUAUCAAAGCAAGCACACAGGCAACACUCCAGAUCAGUUCAAGAGUCACAAAUGCAAAUCUAUCUGCAUGCAUUGAGUUAAUGUCCAAUCUCUCCACCCCCCUUGGUUUUCGUAGACAUGCGAGGAG
Molecule: long non-coding RNA, 705 nt
Organism: Numida meleagris (helmeted guineafowl)
Lineage: Eukaryota; Metazoa; Chordata; Aves; Galliformes; Numididae
Exons: 4
Source: RefSeq, a predicted model, not a curated record